Non-coding RNA from Lactuca sativa (garden lettuce), 812 nucleotides. The record is from RefSeq and is a predicted model, not a curated record. NCBI's taxonomy places the organism in Eukaryota, Viridiplantae, Streptophyta, Magnoliopsida, Asterales, Asteraceae.
AUAAAGCUUUAGAUCCUUAUGAAGAUACUAAGUAAAUUCGUACAUUGCUUGGGAUUUCUCCAUACUGCAAGGGAAAAUAAGCACGAUAAUCAUGAAUUUAUUUGGAUGUUUCAAAACAGUCCUUGGAUUUUUUGUAAAUUAAGCAACAGUCCAUGUACUUUCACUUUUUUCAUAACAGGCCCAAACUUUUUUGGAAGUUGUGGAAUGACCUAUGGAUUUUGCAUAAAAGUGUCAAUUUCUCUUAAGAUUAGCAGAUGAUUAUUGACCUUUUGUGUAAAUUCUCAAAUAGCUCAAAUUCUUUAAAACUAAGAAAUCUUUAAGAAACAGAAGGAAAAAGGUCAAAUAUUGGGAAAAAAUGUCUAUUUCUAUGGAUAUGAUAUGACAAUGUAGAAAGUAUAUCUAUCUUGUUACAAGACAUUGGGUUUUGUGUGGAGCACACAAGUUCUACUGGACAGAAAACAGUAAGUUCAUGUCUUAUAAUUUUUUAUUUUUCUCAUUAUGUAAGGUUUAAAUAAAUAAUGUUUAAAACUUUUGGGAGAAAAGAAACACUUUAUAUAUAAUAUAUAACUUACUGGAUUAAGUCAUACUUUCUGUGUUUGUUUUCAUAUAGCUUAUCUUGCCCUACAGGUGAUACGAGUCUAACCAAGGUAAUUUCUGCACAGUCAUGGCUGGCAACUACACACUUGUAUGGGACAAUUCGUAUUCAACCUUUUUCAAGAAGGCUCUUCGCUACAAAGUGGAUUGUAUUCCACCUGUUGUAGAACCAGUGCCCUCAAUUGAAUCGGAAGAUGAAGAGGGGAUAACUUGAUGUG